RNAcentral lists this non-coding RNA (29 nucleotides) under Mus musculus (house mouse). The record is from RNAcentral. Lineage: Eukaryota; Metazoa; Chordata; Mammalia; Rodentia; Muridae.
UGCGCUCAGGAUGACAGUGGGGUGUCUGC